This is a long non-coding RNA of Conger conger (European conger), 254 nucleotides long. RefSeq lists it as uncharacterized. The record is from RefSeq and is a predicted model, not a curated record. Lineage: Eukaryota; Metazoa; Chordata; Actinopteri; Anguilliformes; Congridae. The transcript is spliced from 3 exons.
GCAAACGACACGACAAGCAGUUGGGCUGAAGUCGAAGGGGAAUUUUAAUGAGAUAAAUCAACCAUAAGGUCCUGCAUGACUAUUCUGCUUACUACUAAUCUGCAGCCGAGACCCUUAUGCCUUUAAAGGCUCACAUUCUGCAGAACAGGACUGGGCAGCUAGAGCAAGGUGCUACUGAGGGCCCAAACACUUUGAGCCCUAGACGAUGGACCCUGUUCUCUGGCAGAGUGGGCUGGCCUGGACUGUAGACUCCU